RNAcentral lists this ribosomal RNA (2905 nucleotides) under Salmonella enterica subsp. enterica serovar Newport str. USMARC-S3124.1. RNAcentral describes it as "bacterial LSU rRNA". It matches the Rfam family "Bacterial large subunit ribosomal RNA". The record is from RNAcentral. Lineage: Bacteria; Pseudomonadati; Pseudomonadota; Gammaproteobacteria; Enterobacterales; Enterobacteriaceae.
UUAAGCGACUAAGCGUACACGGUGGAUGCCCUGGCAGUCAGAGGCGAUGAAGGGCGUGCUAAUCUGCGAUAAGCGCCGGUAAGGUGAUAUGAACCGUUAUAACCGGCGAUACCCGAAUGGGGAAACCCAGUGUGACUCGUCACACUAUCAUUAACUGAAUCCAUAGGUUAAUGAGGCGAACCGGGGGAACUGAAACAUCUAAGUACCCCGAGGAAAAGAAAUCAACCGAGAUUCCCCCAGUAGCGGCGAGCGAACGGGGAGGAGCCCAGAGCCUGAAUCAGCAUGUGUGUUAGUGGAAGCGUCUGGAAAGGCGCGCGAUACAGGGUGACAGCCCCGUACACAAAAGCGCAUGUGCUGUGAGCUCGAUGAGUAGGGCGGGACACGUGGUAUCCUGUCUGAAUAUGGGGGGACCAUCCUCCAAGGCUAAAUACUCCUGACUGACCGAUAGUGAACCAGUACCGUGAGGGAAAGGCGAAAAGAACCCCGGCGAGGGGAGUGAAAAAGAACCUGAAACCGUGUACGUACAAGCAGUGGGAGCACAGGUUUACCUGUGUGACUGCGUACCUUUUGUAUAAUGGGUCAGCGACUUAUAUUCUGUAGCAAGGUUAACCGAAUAGGGGAGCCGGAGGGAAACCGAGUCUUAAUUGGGCGUUAAGUUGCAGGGUAUAGACCCGAAACCCGGUGAUCUAGCCAUGGGCAGGUUGAAGGUUGGGUAACACUAACUGGAGGACCGAACCGACUAAUGUUGAAAAAUUAGCGGAUGACCUGUGGCUGGGGGUGAAAGGCCAAUCAAACCGGGAGAUAGCUGGUUCUCCCCGAAAGCUAUUUAGGUAGCGCCUCGUGAAUUCAUCUCCGGGGGUAGAGCACUGUUUCGGCUAGGGGGCCAUCCCGGCUUACCAACCCGAUGCAAACUGCGAAUACCGGAGAAUGUUAUCACGGGAGACACACGGCGGGUGCUAACGUCCGUCGUGAAGAGGGAAACAACCCAGACCGCCAGCUAAGGUCCCAAAGUCAUGGUUAAGUGGGAAACGAUGUGGGAAGGCCCAGACAGCCAGGAUGUUGGCUUAGAAGCAGCCAUCAUUUAAAGAAAGCGUAAUAGCUCACUGGUCGAGUCGGCCUGCGCGGAAGAUGUAACGGGGCUAAACCAUGCACCGAAGCUGCGGCAGCGACACUGUGUGUUGUUGGGUAGGGGAGCGUUCUGUAAGCCUGUGAAGGUGUGUCGUGAGGCAUGCUGGAGGUAUCAGAAGUGCGAAUGCUGACAUAAGUAACGAUAAAGCGGGUGAAAAGCCCGCUCGCCGGAAGACCAAGGGUUCCUGUCCAACGUUAAUCGGGGCAGGGUGAGUCGACCCCUAAGGCGAGGCCGAAAGGCGUAGUCGAUGGGAAACAGGUUAAUAUUCCUGUACUUGGUGUUACUGCGAAGGGGGGACGGAGAAGGCUAUGUUGGCCGGGCGACGGUUGUCCCGGUUUAAGCGUGUAGGUGUGUGUUCCAGGUAAAUCCGGUUCACUUUAACACUGAGGCGUGAUGACGAGGCACUACGGUGCUGAAGCAACAAAUGCCCUGCUUCCAGGAAAAGCCUCUAAGCAUCAGGUAACAUCAAAUCGUACCCCAAACCGACACAGGUGGUCAGGUAGAGAAUACCAAGGCGCUUGAGAGAACUCGGGUGAAGGAACUAGGCAAAAUGGUGCCGUAACUUCGGGAGAAGGCACGCUGACACGUAGGUGAAGUGAUUUACUCAUGGAGCUGAAGUCAGUCGAAGAUACCAGCUGGCUGCAACUGUUUAUUAAAAACACAGCACUGUGCAAACACGAAAGUGGACGUAUACGGUGUGACGCCUGCCCGGUGCCGGAAGGUUAAUUGAUGGGGUCAGCGCAAGCGAAGCUCCUGAUCGAAGCCCCGGUAAACGGCGGCCGUAACUAUAACGGUCCUAAGGUAGCGAAAUUCCUUGUCGGGUAAGUUCCGACCUGCACGAAUGGCGUAAUGAUGGCCAGGCUGUCUCCACCCGAGACUCAGUGAAAUUGAACUCGCUGUGAAGAUGCAGUGUACCCGCGGCAAGACGGAAAGACCCCGUGAACCUUUACUAUAGCUUGACACUGAACAUUGAGCCUUGAUGUGUAGGAUAGGUGGGAGGCUUUGAAGCGUGGACGCCAGUCUGCGUGGAGCCGACCUUGAAAUACCACCCUUUAAUGUUUGAUGUUCUAACGUGGACCCGUAAUCCGGGUUGCGGACAGUGUCUGGUGGGUAGUUUGACUGGGGCGGUCUCCUCCUAAAGAGUAACGGAGGAGCACGAAGGUUGGCUAAUCCUGGUCGGACAUCAGGAGGUUAGUGCAAUGGCAUAAGCCAGCUUGACUGCGAGCGUGACGGCGCGAGCAGGUGCGAAAGCAGGUCAUAGUGAUCCGGUGGUUCUGAAUGGAAGGGCCAUCGCUCAACGGAUAAAAGGUACUCCGGGGAUAACAGGCUGAUACCGCCCAAGAGUUCAUAUCGACGGCGGUGUUUGGCACCUCGAUGUCGGCUCAUCACAUCCUGGGGCUGAAGUAGGUCCCAAGGGUAUGGCUGUUCGCCAUUUAAAGUGGUACGCGAGCUGGGUUUAGAACGUCGUGAGACAGUUCGGUCCCUAUCUGCCGUGGGCGCUGGAGAACUGAGGGGGGCUGCUCCUAGUACGAGAGGACCGGAGUGGACGCAUCACUGGUGUUCGGGUUGUCAUGCCAAUGGCACUGCCCGGUAGCUAAAUGCGGAAGAGAUAAGUGCUGAAAGCAUCUAAGCACGAAACUUGCCCCGAGAUGAGUUCUCCCUGAGACUUAGAGUCUCCUGAAGGAACGUUGAAGACGACGACGUUGAUAGGCCGGGUGUGUAAGCGCAGCGAUGCGUUGAGCUAACCGGUACUAAUGAACCGUGAGGCUUAACCUU